Molecule: ribosomal RNA, 484 nt
Filed under: uncultured bacterium
Lineage: Bacteria
Description: partial 16S ribosomal RNA
Rfam family: Bacterial small subunit ribosomal RNA
Source: RNAcentral
AUUGAACGCUGGCGGCAGGCCUAACACAUGCAAGUCGAGCGGAUGAAGGGAGCUUGCUCCUGGAUUCAGCGGCGGACGGGUGAGUAAUGCCUAGGAAUCUGCCUGGUAGUGGGGGAUAACGUCCGGAAACGGGCGCUAAUACCGCAUACGUCCUGAGGGAGAAAGUGGGGGAUCUUCGGACCUUACGCUAUCAGAUGAGCCUAGGUCGGAUUAGCUAGUUGGUGGGGUAAAGGCCUACCAAGGCGACGAUCCGUAGCUGGUCUGAGAGGAUGAUCAGUCACACUGGAACUGAGACACGGUCCAGACUCCUACGGGAGGCAGCAGUGGGGAAUAUUGGACAAUGGGCGAAAGCCUGAUCCAGCCAUGCCGCGUGUGUGAAGAAGGUCUUCGGAUUGUAAAGCACUUUAAGUUGGGAGGAAGGGCAGUAAGUUAAUACCUUGCUGUUUUGACGUUACCAACAGAAUAAGCACCGGCUAACUUCGUG